Pelobates cultripes (western spadefoot toad) is the source of this 784-nucleotide non-coding RNA. Lineage: Eukaryota; Metazoa; Chordata; Amphibia; Anura; Pelobatidae. The record is from the annotation of a GenBank genome assembly.
UAUCUGUCACUUUUUCUCUCUAUAAAUAAAUAUAUGUAAUAGACUUGUACUUUCAGCUGAAUUGCAGUUUGUCCACUUUUAGGCUGAUUGGCCAAAUUCCAUAUCAUAUUUUUGUCUAGUGAUCAAGGUCUGCUAGCUUUUUUAGGAUCAUCUUUUGUAUAACUGUUGUUUUGCCACCCUGGGGCAGAGAUUCAGGUUGGUAGCCCACUGCAAGUAUGGGUGUGGGAAUAGGAAUUUCUUGCACCUUGUGGUUCAUGUAUGACGAUUUGUAUAGGCCAGUUGUGACAUUAGCUUCCUGUUACCAAUGUUAAAAUGUUGUGUAACCUCCUGUGUUUUGGUGUUAGGGUCUAUUACUCAUCCAAUAGUAGCAGUCAAACAGGUCUAGGUUUUCACUUUGUGCCCAGGAAUAGUUUGUUCCAGUCGCCCACUAUUGUCAGAUUGCCCUGGUUCCACUGCAGAUUGCCAAGCAGAUUGCCCUGGUUCCCAGUUGUUGCACUUGUUGUGAGAUUGCCCUGGUUCCCUUGCAGAUUGCCAAGCAGAUUGCCCUGGUUUCCCAUUUGUUCCACUUGUUGUCAGAUUUCCCUGGUUCCCUCACAUCUGAUGCGGAUCUUGUUAAUCUGGCAACACCAGAGCCAGCAUGACUCUCUUGGUUCGUGUUACUCUCAUAUUAUUGAGGUGGGCAGCGUAUAUAUUGUUAGGUUUCAUGCCCAGGGAAACUUACUGGUGAGGUCUGACUGGGAUUCGAACCUGGGGUUUCCAGUUCUCUCUCUCUCUCUCUCUCUCU